UCGUACACCAUCAUAACUCAGGUCAGUGUAUAUCUGUACGAGUUUCAGGUCAAUGUGUUGCUCAAUGCUGGUGCCUCACUGAAGAGUGGUAUUUGGCUUUGCUCUCCUCAGAUGUCAGACAAAUACUGUACUGUGGGAUUUCUUUGCUGACCAGACAGUUACUACACGGAACAGAGAAUCAACCAAGGAAUGUGGAGUUUCCAAAUGUAGGUCCUAAAAUUCCUGCCCUGAUGCCUGCCAAUGAAGAUUUAAUUUUUCAAAAAAGGAAACUAAUGUGGGAACCAGAGAGCAGUGGGCAUUGCAUCUUUGUUUGAAGAGUCAGCCUGGCCAGAGGCCAGCAAGGCCGUCAAUACCCUUGUUCAGCUAAAAUAAGGGAUGUUACUUCUGAUUUACACCACUGGCAAGUCGGGUUAUCGGGAUAAUUCUCAAAACCAAAGCAACACUUUGAGAAUAAGGAGAUGGGCGUGAUGACGCAGGAGCAAAGUAAAACCCUUUACAAAGAAGGGGCUUCAGUGAGAGAUCAGAAGCAGGGGGCCAAUGCCCCCUGGAGCCAUUCCACAGCCCCACUGACAUCGUCUUCAUGAAUCACGUGUUUUUCUGGGCCAGAGCUCCCCCCUCAUUCCAGAGGAUCCCAAAGACCUUUACAAACCCUGUGUAUGGUGACCACUUCUCAUCCUUUGGGGGAAAGGGGAAGAAUGCAACAGCAACACUCAACUACCUCAAGGCCCUUUUAGGUGGGGGAGUGUGAAGAAUAAUGUGUCAUUUUGAAACCCCAGUGAUGAUGUCAUUAGGCAAAUAUAAAUGUCUCAGCUGGGAUUAGGUGAGGAUGCUGGGGUCAAUCCCUUAUUCUUGGGGAAAGUGCUGGUGGUCUUAAAUGGGCAAGACUUUCAUGAAAUGCAGGUCCCAUUAACUCCCCUUUACUUCAGUGGGACUAGAAGUUCACACCUUUUUUUAAGUCCCAUCCAAAAGUCAGCAGGCCUGAUUCUCCUCUCACUUAUACCUUCAACAGAGCUACUCCCGCUUCACACUCGUGUGAGUGAGAGGGGAAUGAGGCUCUGCACCUCCAACAAGACAAUUCUCACUACUAGUCCCAUCCACUGAUUUCUCAGUAGCUCACAGAGAAAGUGCCACCCCAUCAGUCACCAGUGCAGCCACCUGGGUUUUAUAUACAGUCUGCUAUGCUCUUUCAACAGAUCUCCUUUCCAAACCACACAAAUGGCGAGUGAUUCCCUGGUGACGAUCCCCGAUUAUAACUCCAAUGCCACCUCUUUUACUGGUUACUGCAAGUCUUCGUUCAGCACCAUCCACCCCAUUUGCAACAUGUACCAAGAGCUGUAAAGUAAACUUUCUCCUAAUGACAGAUGGGGCAGGGAGGGGAAGUAAUUAGUUAUUCCAACAUUUUGUUCUUUUUGGGAAAUGUCAAAUACAUAAAACAGAAGGAAACAAGGUUUCUUCAUAAAGUGCACUCUCCGUCCACUCCAAGAAUUACUCAGCAGAGGGAUGCAGAUCCCAGUUCUGAUUCAAUAUGUCUGCCAACAACCCCCUCCCAAAAGACUGGUGUCUCACGACAUUGGUGAUCUCCGCUAUCAAAAUGGACUUUUCCGCGGCAUUUCUGUGGCUCCUUUUAGCUAAGUCUCUCCCUCUGCUUGGGGUUCGGCUGGGGAAGGGUCAGUGUUGGCUGGUAUAUGUUGUUCUGUCCUCCCCCUUGGCCUGUACGGGACCAAACUGCCCUCAGGCUCACUAGUGAUCUGUGCAUAAUCUCUCCUUGCUUGCUCUCAGUAAGCAGAUCCAACAUUUCCCUGGAGUAGUGUGGGAGGUGUUAUUAGUGAAAGGAGAAAAUGUCAUGAAAUUGGCAAAACCCAAAUCCUUUCUCAAAUGAAACUCUUGUCUAGUUAAUCUGUGGCGCUCUGUCCAGCUCUCCCUCUCCUGCUUCUGAGGAGCCUGACCUUAAGAACAGAGCCUCAUUCGGCUGUGGGUGGAGAUUAAAGGGCCGAAGUUUAAAACUGGUCUUGGUUUCUAUGGCUGUGGGUGCAAGUCUCAGCAUUUGCAAAUCAAUCCCUCUGCCACCUCCUGGCGGCACCUGCAGAUUGGGGUAUGGAAAUGGUGGCAUUUGUGCCAGCUGUAAUAAUGGAGCAGUCAGCUGGCAAAGGGGCCUUUUGGGAUCAGAGGAUUCUGUCCCACCUUGGCAAUGAGAGUGGGGGCAGCGUAGCCCCUACCGCUCACCCAGUCUCCCCCUCCACAAGCACUAUAUCUGGGAUCCAUCCAGUCUCCCUUUCCCCCUCACCAGACAGCCCCACGUUUCCUGCAUGCAAGAUUGUGGGGACCCGGAUCCAUGAAGGCACAAUCAGAAGGGGCACAAAGAGCUUAUUUGCAUGAACUUGCCACCAUGGAGUGGCUGAACAUCUGCUUCACAUCCUUCACUGCACCAGUUUGAGUGUCCUCUGAGUUAGCAGGAGAGAUUCCCCUACAUGACAACAAAGGAGAGCCAGCUGACUGGCCUCAGGAUUUGGUCCAAUACUAGCGAAGCAGCAUAUAGGCUCCUGAGGGCCAACUUCUCCCCGGCUCACUAUCACAACUCCCAUGGAGAUUAAAGGGAAUCACACUGCUGUGCUGGAGGAGAAUCUGGUCCAGAUGAAGGGCUGUGUCAGGAAGAGAGCAAAGGAUAAAGGCAGAGCAAAGAGUGAAGAAAGCACAAUAAUUCUGCUGUGGGAUCAGGAUAGGGUUACCAAUAGCAACUGUGAAAAAACGGGACGGGGGUUGGGAGUAAUAGGUGCCUAUAUAAGAAAAAGUCCCAAAAAACAGGACUGUCCCUUUAAAAACGGGACAUCUGGUCACCCUAGAUCAGGAGCCAACCUUCCCCCCCCCAUCCAGGUUUUUGUAUUGUUCUCUAAAGGCAAACCCCUCUCCAAUACCCCCUGGAGUUCUCCAAGAAGUGCCAGAGAAGUAAUUCCCAUCCGGCAGGUUUAAUGUUCCAGAGCCCACUAGGUUUAAUCUGACUACCUGCUUCAGGUCUGAUUCAGCAGGCUGUGGAAAUGGGUAACUAAUGUUUAUUCCUGGGCCACAGCUUCACCUUUGCUGGUUGUAAUUACUCUCUAGACAUUUCAGUUCAAGCUGCUUAUUAUUAUGAUCUGCACAGAAUGUAAAAACAUCUUUGCAUUUUUUAAAGGAAAAAUAAAUAAUCAUGCAGCAUUUGCUGAAGCAUGGAAGCAGAAUUGAACCAUGGGCCAGAUUCAUCCCUGGUGAAAAGCCAUUGACUUCAGUGAGAAUUGUGGGUGUGCCACGUCCCUGAAAAUUUGGCUACUUAUUUAGGCACCUAAAUCUGGAUUUAGCUGCCUACCUUUAGGGAAUUGGAUUUGAAAAUGUUGGCCUAAAUGAUUUGCCUAAAGGCACAGAGUUAGUCAGUGGUCGAGCUGGGAAUAGACCCUCUAACUCCCAGUCCCAUGCUAAAUGCUACACCAAGCACUCCACCUUCUCAGAAUGAGCCGAAUCUUGUGAAUCUGCAGUAUUGGGUUGGAAAUCUUGUGAGAGGAAGCACCCUCUUGAGAUUGCCAGCCCUUCCAAUUCUAGAGGAGGGAGGAAACAUGUGCAGGUGUGUGCACGCAUGCACAGGUUCCCACUCUAACACGCCCCCCGGUAGUGGAGCAAGGGGUAGAACACAUGAAUGUGUUCAUACUGUGAUGGUGUGUUUACUCAGACUAGGAGCGUAUGCACAUGUGCAUGUCUGUGUGAAUGUACAUGCUGAGUGAUUGUGUGCUCAGGGUGAGAGCUUGUGUGCACUCCCAACCCAUAUUUGACUGCGUGUGUACAUGUGCAUAAGUGUGUGUGAGUGUGUAAGGCAGUCACGGUUCUCUUCCCAUCUGUCAGGGAGGGAGACUACACCCUCUUGCUGCAAUGCUCCUGGAGUGACUCUGUUCAGGGGGGAAUUACCCGACUGUUGAUAGGCCCAAGCCUGCAGUCCAGGCUGGGCAGCAAUUGAGUCUGUGAGCCCCCGGCCCUCAGCCAGAGCGGGGCAGCACACAGUUAAUGGUUCUGGCCCGCAGUCGGGCAGUAUAGCAGUAAGUCGAUAGGCCUGGAGCCCUCAAUCAGAGUGGGACCGUAAUCAGUUAAGGGCUCUGGCCUGCAGUCAGGCAGAGCAACACAGCAGUCUAGCGGGGAUUAGCUCUCUCCAUCUGGCGUCCUAGCUCAGGCAGGUGUCAGACCAAUGCAGGCCUCCUGGCCUAAAGGUGGGGAGGCUGCCACCCCCAAGGGUGGGGCAGCAGGGGGAGGCGGAUGCAGGCCCACCUGCUCCACUGCAUCCCAGCCCAAGGCCCUAACAGUGGCGGAGUGGUCCACCACUGGGUCAGCGGGGAAAUCUGGCCGCAACACACUGGCUGGCCUGCAGUCAGUAACACGGCUGAACCCUAUUCAGCUUCCAUGGGCUCCUUCCUACACUCCCAGUCAGGGGAUACCUGGGUUCUGAGGUUGUUGUCAGUCUCAUUCAGGUAAACAGCUAGUGGCAGCCCCAACAACGCCUCGGUGUCCUUGGUGUCUGGCAGCUCUGGCAGUCCCUCUGGGUCUCUGGCACUGUAGCAGCCUCCAUCAGGUCCGGGCUGCAGCAGUGGGAGAGAGACGUCCUGCUCCUCUGGCAGCUCUGUCCCAACUGAGCUGGAGGGCCGGCCUUUUAUAUUUCCAGUUACUGCCCCGCUCCUCUGCUUCCGGCAGAGCAGCUGUGGGUGUCCCGGUUCUGCCCACCAAGGGGUGGUUGCGGUUCUCUCCCUGUCCGUCAGGGAGGGAGACCAUGCCCCCUCGCUACAGGGUGUAUGUGUUGUUAUUUCCAUAGAGGUUUUGGUUAUUUCCAUCUCUGGUUUUUCAGGGAAAAGCAGUGACUUUCCCUGCUUGAACCAGAAAAUGGAUUUCACUCAAGAUGGGGAAGAUGUUCUUUUACAUUUGCUUUUACAUUUAAGGGCUGGUGGUUUUCAAUGAGUGCUGUAGUCCAAGCUGUCUUUCAGGGUCAGAGGUCCGUUGGCCUUUGCAAUUUGUUGCUUGGCAAUGAGAAGUACUGUAUACAGAAAAGAGUACACUGUUGUUCAGCAACCUCAUUUAAGGACAUUUUCAUAGCUUUAGUACCUUAGUUUUCAAAAUUAUUAAUAAUCACCCAUGAGCUGCCAGUUUAUUAAAAUCUGUUGUGCUGAGUCAAAUCUGGACAUUUUUCCUUUCACAGACCUAAGAGAGUGUGAGGAAUAUCUGUUCUUUUUGGUGUGUGUGCUUUAUUACAAAUAUUUUGGUAAAUCCUUAAAACGUAUUAUGCCACAGGCCCUCAGAUGUAUGUAACAAUAGAUUCCUACAUGGAUUCUUGGUGCUUUAUUUUUAAUUAAAUGCAUUAAAUGUUCAUCUCCCACUGUGGGAUCUAAAAUUAUAAACCAAAUCUUCCUAAGUUCCUCCCCCUCCCCCUUUUUCUUUCCCUCCAAAAGCAGAGGCCACUCAUUACAGAGAAUGGAAACUUUGACAACAUUUCCUGUGAUUUCCUGUUCAGCUCAUCCCUAAAAAGGUACUGUGGAUUAUCUCAGCCAUGUCAUGUAAUAUAUAUCCAUCGUAUUUCACAAAAGCAGAGAGAGCCAAGCAGCGGUGAAAAAAACCUCACAUGACAUGUUGCAGACUCUAAAAAAAAACAGCUUGCCUUUUUCCUGCCAUAAUAAAAAUUAUCUAAAACAAAUGCAAAGCUGUCCAAUUAUGGUUACGUGGUCACAGUCCAAUGGAAUAAUUGUGACCAAUGACCAAGAAAAACCUUUCCAGACACUGAAAUAGUAUUUGAACAGUUGGCAUUUUAAACCCUCUUCCAGGCCCUUUUGUGCAACAUUUAGUAGCCUUAGAAAUAAUGAAUGAGAUAUAUUCCAUUUGCAUCC
Chrysemys picta bellii (western painted turtle) is the source of this 5882-nucleotide non-coding RNA. The record is from RefSeq and is a predicted model, not a curated record. NCBI's taxonomy places the organism in Eukaryota, Metazoa, Chordata, Testudines, Emydidae.